CCUACGGGAGGCAGCAGUGGGGAAUAUUGGGCAAUGGACGGAAGUCUGAACCAGCCAUGCCGCGUGAAGGAAGACGGCUCUAUGAGUGGUAAACUGCUUUUGUACAAGGGUAAACCUGAAUACGUGUAUUCAGCUGAAAGUACUGUACGAAUAAGGAUCGAUUAACUCCGUUCCAUCAGCCGCGGGAAUACGGAGGAUCCAAGCGUUAUCCGGAUUUAUUGGGGUAAAAGGGUGCUUAGGCGGUUUGAUAAGUGGGAGGUGAAACGUCCGAGCUUAACUCGGGAACUGCAUCUAAUACUGUUGAUCUAGAGAGUAGAUGGGGUAGGCGGACUGUAUGGUGUGGCGGGAAA
Molecule: ribosomal RNA, 350 nt
Filed under: uncultured bacterium
Lineage: Bacteria
Description: partial 16S ribosomal RNA
Rfam family: Bacterial small subunit ribosomal RNA
Source: RNAcentral